GAAAACUGGAGGAGACCAAGACUGCAUCAGAAGGGUUUGCGAAAGUGAAAGAGUCUCUUCAGGCCACAGUUCUACUUAAAGAGAAUGAAUGUGCAAGACUGAAAAGGGAGCUAGAAAAGACAAAGAAAGCUUCAGAAGCAUGUGCCAAAGAAACGAAGUCUCUACAGACCACAGUUCAACAUGAAAAAGAAACGAAUGCAAGCCUUAAAAGGGAACUGGACGAGACAAAGAAGGCAUCAGAGGGAUUCAGAAAACUAAAAGAGUCGCUCCAGGCUGAAGUUCACCGUGAACAAGCUGAAAAUGCAAGACUGAGAAAGGUGUUGGAGGAGACAAAGGUGGCAUCAGACGGAUUGAAGGACGCAAAUGAGUCUCUUCAAGCUUCAGUUCAUCGUGAACAGGAGGAAAAUUCAAAGCUGAAGAUGUAUGUGUA
Molecule: long non-coding RNA, 430 nt
Organism: Branchiostoma floridae (Florida lancelet)
Lineage: Eukaryota; Metazoa; Chordata; Leptocardii; Amphioxiformes; Branchiostomatidae
Exons: 4
Source: RefSeq, a predicted model, not a curated record